This 497-nucleotide ribosomal RNA is filed under the name uncultured bacterium. RNAcentral describes it as "partial 16S ribosomal RNA". It matches the Rfam family "Bacterial small subunit ribosomal RNA", at positions 28 to 507 of the family's 1533-position model. The record is from RNAcentral.
GAUGAACGCUGGCGGCGUGCCUAAUACAUGCAAGUCGAGCGAACAGACGAGGAGCUUGCUCCUCUGACGUUAGCGGCGGACAGGUGAGUAACACGUGGAUAACCUACCUAUAAGACUGGGAUAACUUCGGGAAACCGGAGCUAAAACCGGCUAAUAUAUUGAAUCGAAUGGUUCAAUAGUGAAAGUCGGUUUUGCUGUCACUUAUAUAUGGAUCCGCGCCGCAUUAGCUAGUUGGUAAGGUAACGGCAUACCAAGGCAACGAUGCGUAGCCGACCUGAGAGGGUGAGCGGCCACACUGGAACUGAGAAACGGUCAAGACUCCUACGGGAGGCAGCAGUAGGGAAUCUGCCGCAAUGGGCGAAAGCCUGACGGAGCAACGCCGCGUGAGUGAUGAAGGUCUUCGGAUCGUAAAACUCUGUUAUUAGGGAAGAACAAAUGUGUAAGUAACUAUGCACGUCUUGACGGUACCUAAUCAGAAAGCCACGGCUAACUACGUG